Dreissena polymorpha is the source of this 1192-nucleotide RNA transcript. RefSeq lists it as uncharacterized. Lineage: Eukaryota; Metazoa; Mollusca; Bivalvia; Myida; Dreissenidae. The record is from RefSeq and is a predicted model, not a curated record. The transcript is spliced from 9 exons.
GAUACAUUGCUGGAAUCCCAUUUAGAAAUAAGCAGUUUCUCUUUCGUUGAAUUUUAAGAGUAUCGCCGGUCUUGAUUUUUCAACUUUCAGUAAGAUCAUUCUGAGUUUUGCCAUUGGAGAUACAUUGUUUUAUAUCACAGAAAGCCUUUCGUGCAGGGAAAACAAUAUUUUCCAUAUUCAGAACACGCUUUUGUUUACCACAUGUACGACCCCCUCCAACUGACCCAUAACAGUGUCAAAUUAAUAAAAAAAGAUUUACAACUGGAAACUGUAAAGCAUGUGUUAUCCAGUACAGGUAUACUGAAAACGAGUACACCAGAAGUUACUGGCAUGCAUUGAACAUGAUUUCAGAUGAGAAUUUUCUCCUAAAAUGCAGUCGUUAUCGAAAAGAGUUGACAUUGCAGUUGUUAUGCUAUCCAUGAACGUCAUUUGUCAUGGAUCUUUUCAUCUAAUCUGUUCACGACUUAUCGACAAGAGUGAAUCGAUUAAUAUUCUAAUCGAAACAGAGGGGGAGGAUUUUACUUGCAAAUAUCGAGAUGGCGCGUCCAAUACAACAUACGGAAUAGGGGAGUGUAUAUAUUCGGUUUCAACGUGUUUCCCUCCUAAUGAACCAGUGUCAGGACUGACAUUUGAUUAUAGCGCUACUCUGACUAGUGGAAUUCUUACUGUCUUAAAUGUUAAUAAAGCUAUACAUGGAACAAUUUGCUGCUACAAGACAUACAACGUGCUGAUAAAUGCCUCAUUAGAGUUUACAGACGAUUGCACAAUACCAAACAACGGCACUUCUUCUGUAGACAACACGUCAGAAAGCAAGCUGGCCAUCAUUCUCGGUCCUAUUUUGGGGGGAGCAAGCGUAUUGAUACCGAUUGUCAUCGCGUGUAUGUGCUGUAGAAGAAAAUAUGAAACUGAUUAUCAAGCGAAUACAAUGAUCACAAUGGAAGAUUUAGACAGAUAGUCCCCUCACAAAGCAAGUGGUAGGCGACAAUUGUUACCGCGGGCUACGUUUUUAAAUGGCAAAACUGAAACACAGGAUUUGUAACGCCUUCGGCUGAGGAAUAGCAGUAAUAAUUCGUCAAAUUAUAUGCAAUAUUGGGAUAUAUAGACAACUGUUCUUGGAUGAUGGUUUAUCUGACAACAUGACGAGAUUAUAUUAUGCAAAAUGAAAAACAAUAAAUGAAUGGAUUUCAACGUG